AGGGGCUUGCUACGGAAGCCAGGAAGUUAACUGCUGUGAGGUAAAAGUUCUUUCUUUUCGCAGCAACAUGGAAAGAGAGCGGACCAGUUCCUACAAAGAGCUGUUGGUUUCUGAAGAUUUACUACUAUAUAGUUUUCCUUUCUGCCGUGGGUUACCGCAGUGUAUCGACUGAAAACCGCUGCUUGCAUGCGUACAGCUGCACGCUUAAGACUGGCGACGGCCUUUUAAUGUUACACAUAACAGAAACCGAGGCCAACUCCUCCAGAAAGGUGAAGGUUGAACACCUGAAAUAAGAGCCGAGCCGGAGGAAAAGGGGCAUAAGAGAAGGUGCAGCACUUGGUGUCACCUCUAAGACUGAGGGAUGAGGACGUAAAACAAAUAUCUCUGUGAACGUGGUCUAAACUGGAUGAAUUCAAUCCAAGGAUGAUGGUAUAAUCCCAGGAUUUAAUCUGCUGUGGAUCAGCUGGUGAAAAUGGGAGUGAAAACUGAUGUCUGGAUGAAGAUGGGUUAGAGAGAGCUUGAAAGCCAGCGCAGAAGACCACCGCUCAUUCUGGGACUCCCUUUUAUGGUAAACUCUGAAGCUGCAUGGAAUCAGCAAAGCUAAUUCUUGUGAGUGGGGAUGAGUUGGGCUGUGAUCAGAAGUUCUAUUAUCAACUUAUCCACUUUAUAGCUAUAUUUAUACAUUUUUCUAGAUGGCUCUAGUGAGAUUUUUUUCAGAACUAGUGAUAAAUCUAGUGACUCUUUGAAGCUGUUGCAGCUCAGCUGCAACCUGUCUGUCCUGAGUGAGCAGAGAGUUCGGCCAUUAGCCGCUAUUAGCUUCUCCUGCUUCCUAACCUUAACCCCAAAAUUCACACAGAAACAAAGAUAUAACCCUAAAUAACCUAUGUACACCGUUUUAUCAGCAAAAAAGAUGAUUUGUGGGUUAGUUGUGCUUUAAUCUCUUCUGCUCUCAUCCUCAUUACAGUUCCGACUGAAAUUUUAUUUGUCUGCUAUUGGAAUGAAACGGUUUGCAUUCAAAUCUGAUUCUAACAAGCUGAUGAAACGAACCCAUCGCAUGCAGUCUGGAAUGAUCUGAUCUGAAGAAGAACCUUUUUGUUCAGUUGUAUUUGCUGAAUAAACCACUGAACUUU
Molecule: long non-coding RNA, 1130 nt
Organism: Xiphophorus maculatus (southern platyfish)
Lineage: Eukaryota; Metazoa; Chordata; Actinopteri; Cyprinodontiformes; Poeciliidae
Exons: 5
Source: RefSeq, a predicted model, not a curated record